RNAcentral lists this transfer RNA (69 nucleotides) under Ictidomys tridecemlineatus (thirteen-lined ground squirrel). RNAcentral's name for it is "Spermophilus tridecemlineatus (thirteen-lined ground squirrel) tRNA". It matches the Rfam family "tRNA". From Rfam's summary of the family: Transfer RNA (tRNA) molecules are approximately 80 nucleotides in length. Their secondary structure includes four short double-helical elements and three loops (D, anti-codon, and T loops). Further hydrogen bonds mediate the characteristic L-shaped molecular structure. tRNAs have two regions of fundamental functional importance: the anti-codon, which is responsible for specific mRNA codon recognition, and the 3' end, to which the tRNAs corresponding amino acid is attached (by aminoacyl-tRNA synthetases). tRNAs cope with the degeneracy of the genetic code in two manners: having more than one tRNA (with a specific anti-codon) for a particular amino acid; and 'wobble' base-pairing, i.e. permitting non-standard base-pairing at the 3rd anti-codon position. The record is from Rfam by way of RNAcentral. Lineage: Eukaryota; Metazoa; Chordata; Mammalia; Rodentia; Sciuridae.
GGGAUUGUGGCUCAGUGGUAGAGCACUUGCCUAGCAUGCAUGAGGCACUGGUUCGAUCUCCCGCACCCA